GAGGGUAUAGCUCAGUGGUAGAGAUUGCAUGCAUGAGGUCCUGGGUUCAAUCCCCAGUACCUCCA
Molecule: transfer RNA, 65 nt
Filed under: Camelus bactrianus (Bactrian camel)
Lineage: Eukaryota; Metazoa; Chordata; Mammalia; Artiodactyla; Camelidae
Also listed under: 3 other names
Rfam family: tRNA
About the family: Transfer RNA (tRNA) molecules are approximately 80 nucleotides in length. Their secondary structure includes four short double-helical elements and three loops (D, anti-codon, and T loops).
Source: Rfam by way of RNAcentral